AGGGUCACAUCCACAGCGUAUGGAAGUUCCCAAGCUAGGAGUCAAAUCAGAGCUGCAGCUGCCAGCCUAUGCCAGAGCCACAGCAACUCCAUAUCCAAGACUUGUCUGUGACCUACACCAAAAUUCACAGCAACCUUGGAUCCUUAACCCACUGAGCAGAGCCAGGGAUUGAACCCACAUCCUCAUGGAUACUAGUCGGGUUCAUUACCACCAAGCCACACAAGAACCCCAGGAUUUUUAAAAAUUUUUAUUGUAAUUACAGAAUUAUACAUGAACUUAUAUUCAUUUCAAGCAAUCUAAUCAAUCUUCAAAAUUGAUCUCAAAAGACUUCCUAUUAAGGCUUCCCCCAUCUUCUAAUUAGACAUUAUUGCUUCUUCUUUGAACCACCAUUGCAUUGGUUUUAGUUGAUUAUGACUGUGGCCCAGUAAUUCUCAAAUCUUUGUGUACAUAAAGAACACCUGGUGUUCAUUGCUGGGCCCCACCCCAAGUUUCUGAUUCAGGAAAUCUGUGUGAAGUCUAAGCUUUUGCAUUUAUGACAAUUUCCCUGGGAUGCACAUACUGCUAUUGUGGGGACCUACACUUUGAGAAACAUUGUAGGAGCAGAGGCAGAUACAACAGGAUACCCACCCCCAGGAGCCAUGUCUCUUCUAUUCCUGCCUCAGCCUCUGCACAAUGUUAAUUAAUCCAAGACUAGAGACUAUUCACCCAAGCUGUACCGUUCACACUAUAUCAUGUCCCUGGCACAUAGCUGGUCCAAAGGGCAGACCAGCUGUUCAUGCCAGACCAACUGGAACCCUCCCCUAUUAUUUUUCAAACAUGGAACCGUUAAGAUGUAUGUGUGGAACCUUCCUGGAAUGGAAUAUAGCCAGCCUUAGAGAAAAACCCAGAUGAAAUACAGAGUCCCAAAGGUGUUUGUCUGAGCCUGUAGUAAUUUGGAUACUUUUAGAUGAAUGUAGUGGACAUUGAACUCAAACUAUGAACAAAAUAAUUUUUUUUUAAAUUGUCUCACACAACCUUAGAUAAGGUGGGCCCUAGGACUGGCGGUUACAACUAAUGAACAAUUUCAUCAAAGACCUGGGUUUUUUCCAUCACUCUGCCCUUACUACUUGGAAUAUCAUGAUUGGAAUAGACGAAUCAUUGGGGUAGAACAUUAAAGGAUGUAAUACAAGGAAUUAGGCAAAGGCGGUGAGUAUAACCAGCAGAGACUCAGGCUGUGUCAUGGAGUCAUGACACAAAGAUCUCCAAAGAACCCAGGAAUUAUCCUUCUGGAAAUUUGUUGUUCAAUUCUUCUUUUGAUCCUGCGACCGUCCACCCACCGCAAUAUACUUCCAAUUGUUAUUAGGUUUGGUUUUGGGUUUGCUUUUUGCUUUGCUUGCCUUGGGUUGCUGUUCAUUCUAAUCAGAGCCCUAGCUGUUAUCUUAGUCUACCUUGGAGUACCUCAUUUUUUGUCAGCAGUUUCCAUUCGCCCUUAAAAUAACCAUAACCCUAUCCCCCUCUGCAAAUUACAAGCCUAUGGCUUCGGCUGGGGGCCUACCCUUCGGCUGGGGUCCUACCCUUGCCUCAGAAGAUGGAGCAGAUAACCUAGACCAAAGCUCAUCAGCAUGCCAUUUCUUCUCCCCUACCUAUGAUGGGUUGAGAAACGAGCAUGUUUCCUGUUUCAGCCAGUGAUGCAUCAUGAGGCUUUUGCUCAUAAUCCUAGUAAAGAAACUUCUUCUAUUUCCUAUUAGAGAGGAGCCAGAUUGGUAGCCCCAGGAGCUGCUAGGAACCAUCUGGCAACCACAAGGGUAAAGCCUACCUGAGAGUCAACCCAGAAAGAGAAAAACUGGCCCCUGAGCCCCUGGCCCCUGUUGUGCCUACUGUCUUUGCUUAAGCUGUAUGGAAGCAGAAUUUUUACCACUUACAAACAGAAGUGUCCUAACUCAUAAGUCCUCUUCCCACUCUUCCUGCUGCAGUUAGAUCAUGUGAGAGCGGAAAGUGGCUCUGGUCUGCAGCGGUGGCCCUGGUAGCCACAUUAGUGCCUGGCAUACAGUAGGGAUCGAAGCAGAGUUUCUCAGAUGGGCUUCAGGCUGCCUUCAUAAGCACUUCUGAUAGAAUCCCAGAGCUCAGCAUAGCUACGUGAGCCUCUCUCUCUUCCCUGAGCAGGUACCAAUGCAAGGCCAAGAACCUCCUGAGUCAUCAGCAGAGAUGUACAGGUUUUUGUCCCAAGGGAAGCAGCAAUGUGGGUUAUGACUAAGAGGUCAACUUGUAGGUUCCAGUUGGAGGAACUGUAGAGGCCAGUUUCACCCACCUCACUGCCCCACUCCCACCCAAAGUAGACCCUGAAAUGCAGACGUUUACACAGAGCUGUUUAUUUUGCAGCUAAGAGACCCUGCUUAUAUAAUUUGCACGAGGGCCAAAUGUUAAACUUGAGGUUGAGGACACGAGGAUGGCCAUGCACCUAAAGAAAGUAGUUUUUUCCAUUUAGCCAGACUCCUGUUGUUUCCCAGGAUUCCCAUCAGGAUUCCCACUUUCCAGCGGAGCUGCAUUCUGACAGAGCCUGAAGCUCAGAGCAGAGAGAAUUACUGGGACAAGCUUGAUCUCUCUUGGACACCAAGGAAUCUCACAGCCCUCUCCUUUGGGCUCUGACCUAAGACUCCUGCAGCCUGUUUGCAGGAGACUAGGGGCCUCUUGAUUUUCAAUAUGUCCUCACCCACCUAAAAUGCCCAGCACCUGCAGAACUUAACUUUCUAAAAACACAUUAGCCUAGAAAGGAGCACUCAGCUUCUUCUUUCAGGGGCCUGACCUUGAGGUGACUGUCUUCCAGAGCGCAGAACAGCAUGCUUUGUCCUCAGCAUCUUAGCACCCUGGGGCCCUGGGUUGCUUUAAUUACUACCUCUACUGCUAGGAGAUGGGCCAGCUUAACCAUACCAAUAGGAACUGAGAGGAUGAGAGCAGAACUGAUGAACCUGCUGCAGUUUUGCUAGUUGAUAUUAGUGUGGACUGAGCCCAAGGCCCCCUGUGUCCCAGCUCUGCAGACCCUACUUGUUAGCAGGAGAUCAUCAGGAUAUACUAGUCUCACCUUUUAGACCCUCUUGUGACCUGGAUCCUUGUCUCUCUUCAGCCCAUCUCUCCCCAUAUCCCCAUGAUCCAGACCCCAGUGAUAACCGUCUUGGAGUUGACCCCCUUGGAGCAAGUUGUAUCACUGCCCCAUGCCUUUGCCCAAACUGUUCCUCUGCCCAGAUUGUCCUCUGACCUCUAUCCUAUUCAGAGCUCUCAGCCUUCAAUGUUCAGCUCAAACGCCAUCAUCCUCUCUAUCCAUCUCUCUCUUUUUCUUCAUCUCACCCCCUCCCCCCACCCCAUCAAUAAUCUUUCAGUCCUGAAUGCUCAUUGGUAGCUUGAGGCUGUGUUGUUUAGCCUCACCAUCUUUGCCUGGCUAGCUCCUAUACAUUCUUUAUUGUUUGUUCAGGUUAUCAUCUCCUUGAAAAAGUUUACCCUGAUGUUCCCAGGCUGGACUGAGUGCCCCAUCAAGCUUCCGCCUUGUCUUAAAAUUAUGUGUAUGUCUUUUCCCCACUAUCUUUGACGGCCUCCAUGGCAGGGACAGAGUCACAGUCAUAUGCAUGUCCCCAGAGUCCAAGACAGGGUCUGCCACAUAAUGGGGAUUACUUCCAUCAGCUUAGAUGGGCUGAGGUACCUGCUGGUUGGGACACUUUCUCAGAGCUACAUCUCAGGGAGCAGUUGCCCAGGGUAAAGGAGAAGAUGUUUACCCCAUCCACUGCACCUCUCUGGAGAGAAGGGAAGGCAGAAUCAGCGAGCCUGAUACAGCAACAACUCAGUCUACUACUCUGGCUCCUCCCUGGCAUUGUGGGAGUUUGUCCUUCCAGCUUUCAAAAAUUCAAAUAAAGUAGCAUACACCAACCAAGGCACUAGGUAGGGAUCAGGGAGACAUAAAUAAGGCUUAUCCUAUCCCCAAGGUCACCUAGUGGCACACACGAACACGUGCAGUACACAGUCCCUUGGAGUAGAAACGAGGUGGCACCAGCUCUGCCCAGAGGAGCUGACGAAGGCUUCGCAGAAGGAGCCAUCCCUGAACUGGGCCCUAGAGACUGAGGAUGAAUCCAGGCGAAGAUGGGAACUAGCGUAGAGCAGUCCAGGCAGAGGGACCAGCCUGGGCAAAGGCUCAAAGGCUGGAAGGCUGGAAUGCACUGGCAAGUGGGUGGGCGAGCACAUGUCUCCCCGGCUGGUGUCAGAGGCUUGGUGGAGGAUGAGGGGUGACAUGAGGACAGAUGGUAGUUUGCAGCCUGCUUGGGGGGAGGGAGGCCUUGAGCACUCACCGAAAGGUGAGGCUUUUGUUUGAUAAGCACUGAAGAGCCUUGAGGGUUAUUAAGCCGAAGAAUGAAAACUAGCAGCCAUGUUUAGGGUGAGGAGGUGUAUUAGAAAGUAUUGCUAUUGUCGCUAAGGAUGAUGAGGGCCAGGUCAGGCGCUGCGCUAGAGAAGGAAAGGUAGGGAUGGCUUAAGAGAUGUUAUGGGGGUGGGAGUACAGGAGCCAAGCCUGUUCAGCAUCCCGAAUCCUUCCAAGCCCUCAGCUCCCCACCACCGGCUCCUAGCUCCCCAGCAUCCUUCUUCCCUCCUUGGCUGUUAGCUUCUAAGGCAAGGAGAUUCCAAAUGCUGACUACAUCGUCCUUGGCCCAUCUCAGCUUCUGGCAAAUGAAUUGGUGUCGUUCCCCAGAAAGCUUUUCUUGAACUUCAUCAAGUUAGCAAAGAGGAGAAGUGUUAACAGUAUGAUCUGUUGAGUCUCAAAUUCUAAUCCCAGCCCUAACACUCACCCAGCUUUUUCACUCCCUGAAGUUCUGCCAAAAUCAAAAGAGAAGGUCUGUGCCAGACACAAGUAAUUUCAGCUGAACAAGCACUUGGAGGGUCACAGAGCACUGCUGUGCCUGCAGAAUGUUUUGCCGCUUCAGAACGGGCUUGGGGCGGCUGGUGGCAGUGCCUGUGGGUGACAUGGUCAAAAGGAGCAUGAAGACUAUUUUUCUUUGGUAAAUAAAUGUUCCACUGUUGAUGCUGCAGUAAAUCAGAAGUUCCAAGAAGACAGGUGCCAUUCAUUUCUUAAAAGGAUGGAGGGAGAGAGAAGGCACGAUUCUGGACA
Molecule: long non-coding RNA, 5122 nt
Filed under: Sus scrofa (pig)
Lineage: Eukaryota; Metazoa; Chordata; Mammalia; Artiodactyla; Suidae
Description: lncRNA (ENSSSCG00005041973.1)
Source: RNAcentral